UGAUAGCUGUGAAGCGUGAGGUUGCUGCUGAUGGCAGGUUUUUCCGCGGAGCGAAUGUCAAGUUAGAAAACUGACGACAA
This 80-nucleotide non-coding RNA is filed under the name human gut metagenome. RNAcentral's name for it is "S10-Clostridia ribosomal protein leader". It matches the Rfam family "S10-Clostridia ribosomal protein leader". The record is from RNAcentral.